GCUGAGGUGAGUCCCGUGUGAUGCUGAGGUGAGUCCCGUGUGGUGCUGAGGUGAGUCCGUGUGAUGCUGAGGUGAGUCCCGUGUGAUGCUGAGGUGAGUCCCGUGUGAUGCUGAGGUGAGUCCGUGUGAUGCUGAGGUGAGUCCCGUGUGAUGCUGAGGUGAGUCCCGUGUGAUGCUGAGGUGAGUCCCGUGUGAUGCUGAGGUGAGUCCGUGUGAUGCUGAGGUGAGUCCGUGUGAUGCUGAGGUGGGGCCCGU
This 255-nucleotide long non-coding RNA is filed under the name Pan troglodytes (chimpanzee). RNAcentral's name for it is "long non-coding RNA NONPTRT009843". Lineage: Eukaryota; Metazoa; Chordata; Mammalia; Primates; Hominidae. The record is from RNAcentral.